GUACGAUGGAGUGUUCGAGGACGAGCACAAUAUAAAUGCUUCCUCUCUGCUAGUUCUUCUGCAAGUUCACUUUGAUGAUUGUCCAUCAGAUCUUCAUUCACCACUACAAUUAGAGGUUUUCCAAGCCGCAAAGUCUCAAAUAUACUCCCUGACCCUAUAUCAUGAUCAGAACCAGUUAAUGCUCCUUUUGCUAUCCAAAGUAAAGCUACCAGCAGUGAUCCAUCAAAUAUCCAAAAGGAAGCUGCCAAGUACAGUACCUGCAAAA
Hevea brasiliensis (rubber tree) is the source of this 265-nucleotide long non-coding RNA. RefSeq lists it as uncharacterized. The record is from RefSeq and is a predicted model, not a curated record. The transcript has 2 exons. Lineage: Eukaryota; Viridiplantae; Streptophyta; Magnoliopsida; Malpighiales; Euphorbiaceae.